This 942-nucleotide non-coding RNA is filed under the name Pan troglodytes (chimpanzee). Lineage: Eukaryota; Metazoa; Chordata; Mammalia; Primates; Hominidae. The record is from RNAcentral.
ACUAGAUGACCCGCCCCCUCGGGCUGUCGGGGGGUCGAGGCAGUGGAGGGUUCGUGAUGCCAGCUCACGGAGGGAAUCCAGGGAAUUAGGUAAUGAACGGUCUACCCAUGAAGGGGACCGAUUAGUGCCUCUCGCCUGGUCCUGAAGACCUUUAAAUUAUUCUUUCAGCUGAUGCCAAGAGCCUCUUUUUGGCCAGCACUUACUAAGCACCAGAGACACAGCGAGAAGCAGAAGCAUACGAGCACAUCAGCGUGAUUCUGCUGUGAUGAAGGGCAAGAGAGGGCUCACUUUCCGGGGUGACAUUCAAGCUAGCCCCGAGGCCUGAGCAGGACCCGCCCAGGGGAAGAUCUGGAGGAAAGCCAUCUGAACAUACAACAAGAGCAAAGGCCUGGUGGAGUCAGGACCACCUUGGCUGCCAGGUGGAAUGGUGGAAUAACUCAGGAGUCUGUCAGGUCUCUGAGAUGUCAAACGGGCUUGGCACACACCCAGGAGCUCAAUGCUGCUGGGAGCUGAGCAGCUGGGAGCAAGGAGCCCUCAUCCCCACUGAUGAAGAGGCCAGCCCAGGCUCUAGGCUAAGCGGGCCUGUGAUUAUAAACAGCAGUGUCUCCCUGGACAAGUUUCUUGACCCCUGAGAAGAAUGUUAGACCAUCAACUUUGUGAGGGGAGAGGCAGUCUCCAACUUUUUUCCUGCUCAGUCCUUAUUGCAUACUCUUGGAGAAGGUCUACUGACUUGUUCUCAGAUGCCCCACGGCUCAGCCAACCACCCAUCCAGCAGAGCAUUCAAAAGGCAUCCUGGAAGGAAUGAGGGCCACCGUUCUGCCAGGCCCCUAUUUUUUUUUUAGAGGAGUCUCACUCUGUCACCCAGGCUGGAGUGCAAUGGCACGACCUCUGCUCACUGCAAGCUCUGCCUCCCAGGUUCAAGCGAUUCUCCUGUCUCAGCCU